This 253-nucleotide ribosomal RNA is filed under the name uncultured bacterium. RNAcentral's name for it is "partial 16S ribosomal RNA". It matches the Rfam family "Bacterial small subunit ribosomal RNA", at positions 524 to 776 of the family's 1533-position model. The record is from RNAcentral.
GACGAACCGUGCGAACGUUGUUCGGAAUCACUGGGCUUAAAGGGCGCGUAGGCGGCUUCGCAAGUCCGGGGUGAAAGCCCCCAGCUCAACUGGGGAAGUGCCUUGGAAACUGCGGAGCUCGAGCGAGGUAGGGGUCGUGGGAACUUCCGGUGGAGCGGUGAAAUGCGUUGAUAUCGGAAGGAACGCCGGUGGCGAAAGCGCACGACUGGACCUCACCUGACGCUGAGGCGCGAAAGCCAGGGGAGCAAACGGG